AGGUUUUCAUGGAAACUUCAAGACAACAGAGAACAGAGGAAUCACCAGACCAGCUGCGAAAAAACACAAUACCAGCUGAAAGAAGCAAUCAUACUGUUGGAACAAAACCUCCUUUUCCAAGGAAUAACUUGACAGCCAAUGACGUAUUGCCUUCUGUAAGUAA
Long non-coding RNA from Spea bombifrons (plains spadefoot toad), 163 nucleotides. RefSeq lists it as uncharacterized. The transcript has 3 exons. NCBI's taxonomy places the organism in Eukaryota, Metazoa, Chordata, Amphibia, Anura, Pelobatidae. The record is from RefSeq and is a predicted model, not a curated record.